Molecule: ribosomal RNA, 2954 nt
Filed under: human gut metagenome
Description: bacterial LSU rRNA
Rfam family: Bacterial large subunit ribosomal RNA
Source: RNAcentral
AGGGCGUAUGGUGGAUGCCUUGGCAGACAGUACCGAUGAAGGACGUUUGAGGAUGCGAUAAUCCUAGGGGAGCCUCCAACAUGGCUUUGAUCCUAGGGUCUCCGAAUGGGGGAACCCGCCGGCCGUCAUGGGCCGGCACCGCCUAUGGGCGGGGGGUACGCAGGGAAGUGAAACAUCUCAGUACCUGCAGGAAGGGAUACUCCGUGAGUAGUGGCGAGCGAAAGCGGAUCAGACCAAACCGGUUGCGCGUGAUACCCGUCGGGGGUUGCGUUGCCGGUGUUGUGGGAUCACGUGUCCCGGUUCCGACGGGCCGGGCGGGAGUCAUAAAACGGCUUGCCAGGGGAACAGGCUUGAAGGCCUGGCCGUAGAGGGUGCCAGCCCCGUACCUGGACGUGAGCCGUCUUCCGAUCGUGUUGUCCCAAGUAGCGCGGGCCUCGUGGAAUCCCGCGUGAAUCAGCCCAGACCGUUGGGUAAGUCUAAGCAUACCUGUCUGACCGAUAGCGUACCAGUACCGUGAGGGAAAGGUGAAAAGCACCCCGGGAGGGGAGUGAAACAGUUCCUGAAACCGUGCGCCCACAAACCGUCGGAGCCUCUGUGUGGGGUGACGGCGUGCCUAUCGAAAAAUGAGUCUGCGAGUCAGUGGCAUGUGGCGAGCAUAACCCGUGUGGGGUAUGCGUAGCGAAGGCGAGUCUUAAAAGGCGUUUGAGUCGCGUGUCCUGGACCCGAAGCGGGAUGAUCUAGCCCUGGGCAGGUUGAAGCGCGGGUAAGACCGCGUGGAGGACCGAACCCACCUGGGUUGAAAACCGGGGGGAUGACUUGGGGCUAGGGGUGAAAGGCCAAUCAAAUUCCGUGAUAGCUGGUUCUCUCCGAAAUGCAUUUAGGUGCAGCGUCGGUCGAUUGCGUCGCGGGGGUAGAGCUACCGGAUGCUUGCGGGCCCUUGUUGGGUACCAACAGCAGCCGAACUCCGAAUACCGUUGACGUGUAUUCCGGCAGUGAGUCGGCGGGGGAUAAGCUCCGUCGUCGAGAGGGAGACAGCCCAGACCGUCGUCUAAGGUCCCGAAGCGUGUGCUAAGUGGGAAAGGAUGUGGAGUCGCAUAGACAGCCAGGAGGUUGGCUCAGAAGCAGCCAUCCUUGAAAGAGUGCGUAACAGCUCACUGGUCUAGUGGUUCCGCGCCGACAAUGUAGCGGGGCUCAAGCACACCACCGAAGCCGCGGCAGCAAUCUUCAUGGUUGCUGGGUAGGAGAGCGUCCUGCGAGGGGCGAAGCGGCGGUGGAAACCGGCCGUGGACUUCGUGGGAGUGAGAAUGCAGACAUGAGUAGCGAGAGACGGGUGAAGAUCCCGUCCGCUGGAUGACCAAGGGUUCCAGGGCCACGUUCAUCGUCCCUGGGUGAGUCGGGUCCUAAGGCGAGGCCGACAGGCGUAGUCGAAUGGAUGAACGGGUCGAUAUUCCCGUACCGGCUUUCAGCCGCCAAAACCGAGGCUUGGAGUACUAACCUCCGGGUCCGGGCUUACUGCUCCUUCGGGGGCGGGAUGCCCUGGCCUGUUGGGACCGAUCCUUGUAGUAGGUCAGCGCAGGAGUGACGCAGAAGGGUAGCCGGCCGCGGAGGUGGUCUUCCGUGGUCAAGCACGCAGGGCGUGGGACAGGCAAAUCCGUCCCGCAUGGGUCCGAGGUGCGAUGAUGGGGGCCUUAUGGCCCGAUAUCCGGUGAUCCCGGCUGCCGAGAAAAGCUUCGGCGUCAGGCUCGAAGCCGCCCGUACCCCAAACCGACACUGGUGGUCAGGUAGAGAAUACCAAAGCGAUCGAGCGAAUCCUGGUCAAGGAACUCGGCAAAUCACUCCCGUUCCUUCGGUUUAAGGGAGACCCCCGAUGGUGAACACACUUGCUGUGGGAGCUUUUGGGGGUGGCACAGACCAGGGGGUAGCGACUGUUUACCAAAAACACAGGUGCAUGCGAAGGCGCAAGCCGCUGUAUAUGCACUGACGCCUGCCCGGUGCCGGAAGGUUAAGAGGAUCCGUCAGCCUUCGGGUGAAGCGGUGAAUUCAAGCCCCGGUAAACGGCGGUGGUAACUAUAACCAUCCUAAGGUAGCGAAAUUCCUUGUCGGGUAAGUUCCGACCUGCACGAAUGGCGUAAUGAUGGCCAGGCUGUCUCCACCCGAGACUCAGUGAAAUUGAACUCGCUGUGAAGAUGCAGUGUACCCGCGGCAAGACGGAAAGACCCCGUGAACCUUUACUAUAGCUUGACACUGAACAUUGAGCCUUGAUGUGUAGGAUAGGUGGGAGGCUUUGAAGUGUGGACGCCAGUCUGCAUGGAGCCGACCUUGAAAUACCACCCUUUAAUGUUUGAUGUUCUAACGUUGACCCGUAAUCCGGGUUGCGGACAGUGUCUGGUGGGUAGUUUGACUGGGGCGGUCUCCUCCUAAAGAGUAACGGAGGAGCACGAAGGUUGGCUAAUCCUGGUCGGACAUCAGGAGGUUAGUGCAAUGGCAUAAGCCAGCUUGACUGCGAGCGUGACGGCGCGAGCAGGUGCGAAAGCAGGUCAUAGUGAUCCGGUGGUUCUGAAUGGAAGGGCCAUCGCUCAACGGAUAAAAGGUACUCCGGGGAUAACAGGCUGAUACCGCCCAAGAGUUCAUAUCGACGGCGGUGUUUGGCACCUCGAUGUCGGCUCAUCACAUCCUGGGGCUGAAGUAGGUCCCAAGGGUAUGGCUGUUCGCCAUUUAAAGUGGUACGCGAGCUGGGUUUAGAACGUCGUGAGACAGUUCGGUCCCUAUCUGCCGUGGGCGCUGGAGAACUGAGGGGGGCUGCUCCUAGUACGAGAGGACCGGAGUGGACGCAUCACUGGUGUUCGGGUUGUCAUGCCAAUGGCACUGCCCGGUAGCUAAAUGCGGAAGAGAUAAGUGCUGAAAGCAUCUAAGCACGAAACUUGCCCCGAGAUGAGUUCUCCCUGACUCCUUGA